UACGGAGGUGGCAAGCGUUGCUCGGAAUCACUGGGCGUAAAGGGCGCGUAGGCGGGGAGGUAAGCCGGGUGUGAAAUCCCUCGGCCCAACUGAGGAACUGCGCCCGAGACUGCUUCUCUUGAGUCCCGGAGAGGAAGGUGGAAUUCCCGGUGUAGCGGUGAAAUGUGUAGAGAUCGGGAGGAACACCGGUGGCGAAGGCGGCCUUCGGGACGGUGACUGACGCUGAGGCGCGAAAGCGUGGGGAGCAAACGGG
This 253-nucleotide ribosomal RNA is filed under the name uncultured bacterium. Its description in RNAcentral is "partial 16S ribosomal RNA". It matches the Rfam family "Bacterial small subunit ribosomal RNA", at positions 524 to 776 of the family's 1533-position model. The record is from RNAcentral.